This 119-nucleotide ribosomal RNA is filed under the name Schizosaccharomyces pombe (fission yeast). Lineage: Eukaryota; Fungi; Ascomycota; Schizosaccharomycetes; Schizosaccharomycetales; Schizosaccharomycetaceae. The record is from RNAcentral.
GUCUACGGCCAUACCUAGGCGAAAACACCAGUUCCCGUCCGAUCACUGCAGUUAAGUGUCUGAGGGCCUCGUUAGUACUAUGGUUGGAGACAACAUGGGAAUCCGGGGUGCUGUAGGCU